Molecule: signal recognition particle RNA, 145 nt
Filed under: Otolemur garnettii (small-eared galago)
Lineage: Eukaryota; Metazoa; Chordata; Mammalia; Primates; Galagidae
Description: Metazoan signal recognition particle RNA
Rfam family: Metazoan signal recognition particle RNA
About the family: The signal recognition particle (SRP) is a universally conserved ribonucleoprotein.
Source: Rfam by way of RNAcentral
GCCGGGUGUUGUGGCGGGCGCCUGUUGUCCCAGGUACUUGGGAGGCUGAGGCAGGAGACUCGCUUGAGCCCAGGAGUUGGAGGUUGCUGUGAGCUGUGAUGUCAUGGCACUCUACCCAGGGCAACAGAGUGAGAUUCUGUCUCAA